This is a long non-coding RNA of Hordeum vulgare subsp. vulgare (domesticated barley), 718 nucleotides long. RefSeq lists it as uncharacterized. The record is from RefSeq and is a predicted model, not a curated record. NCBI's taxonomy places the organism in Eukaryota, Viridiplantae, Streptophyta, Magnoliopsida, Poales, Poaceae. The transcript has 2 exons.
UGCGGCACCUCUCUUGCCAGCCUGUAAAUAGGACCCCACGAGCCUUGCUGAAGCCAUCACUUCUCGACCUCACCAAAGCCACGCUUAAGCCACCCGGUGGGCUUCGGGAAGGUCAUCUUCCCCGCCUCCGGCCGCCCGAUUUAGCUUCGGGUUUCGGUUAAAUUUGAGCAGGUGAAUGCAUCCCCGCUGCCCAAACUCAGCCAACAUGCUGCUAGAGAAACCGUCCUUCUAACCCGCGCUUCAGUUCGGAGUUUGGAGGCUUCUCCGACGAGAUCCACGUGCACCCAAAAACGUAGCUCGCCGGAGUUGGAUCUGCCGUUGACGAGGUGCUCUCCGGCGACUGCCUCCACCUCCAUCAGUUGCGGAAUCACCCAAUAUGAAUGAAGGAGACCUCAUGGACGAAGAGUACGAUAGCGAGUCCGAUGCCUAGAGGAGUCCCAAUCAGUCUUGCUAUCUUGGAGUCUGUCGUUGUAUAAUUUCACCACCUCCGCCACCACGAAUAAAUAGUCAAGCCUCGCUGUGAUGCUUGGUGUGUAGUAGUACUUAAGCUGUGUCACUUCACUCCAAUGUGGCAUGCCUACCUAUUGAUGCGAGCAGUAGAGAUUACCCCCAUGACCACUGUGAUAUAUCCGCCCUUAUGCUAAGUAUGGGUGUAUUGUAAUACUAUUGAGCAGCCUCUACUCUACCUUGUUUAAUAGUAAGUACUACUGGUUUUCUA